Molecule: ribosomal RNA, 253 nt
Filed under: uncultured bacterium
Lineage: Bacteria
Description: partial 16S ribosomal RNA
Rfam family: Bacterial small subunit ribosomal RNA
Source: RNAcentral
UACGUAGGGUGCAAGCGUUAUCCGGAAUUAUUGGGCGUAAAGAGCUCGUAGGCGGUUUGUCGCGUCUGCUGUGAAAACCCGAGGCUCAACCUCGGGCCUGCAGUGGGUACGGGCAGACUAGAGUGCGGUAGGGGAGAUUGGAGUUCCUGGUGUAGCGGUGGAAUGCGCAGAUAUCAGGAGGAACACCGAUGGCGAAGGCAGAUCUCUGGGCCGUAACUGACGCUGAGGAGCGAAAGCGUGGGGAGCGAACAGG